GGCUCCAUCGUCUAGUGGUUAGGACGCUAGGCUUUCAUCCUAGGAACGGGGGUUCGAUUCCCCCUGGAGUCACCA
This 75-nucleotide transfer RNA is filed under the name Candidatus Shapirobacteria bacterium. Its description in RNAcentral is "tRNA-Glu". It matches the Rfam family "tRNA". Rfam says of the family: Transfer RNA (tRNA) molecules are approximately 80 nucleotides in length. Their secondary structure includes four short double-helical elements and three loops (D, anti-codon, and T loops). The record is from RNAcentral. RNAcentral also lists the same sequence under 1 other name. Lineage: Bacteria; Candidatus Shapironibacteriota.